RNAcentral lists this long non-coding RNA (653 nucleotides) under Coccomyxa subellipsoidea. RNAcentral's name for it is "long non-coding RNA (CSUB_LNC000088)". Lineage: Eukaryota; Viridiplantae; Chlorophyta; Trebouxiophyceae; Coccomyxaceae. The record is from RNAcentral.
AGGCAUGCUAGCACUCCUGUGGGGAGAGCUCUCUGCUGCACCGGUCCCCUGUAAUAGCUGCUGUGCACGUUGAGUUCUUCAGGCUUGAACUGAGCACUGCUGGCAGGCGUGCCGAAGAAGGCAACCCCCUGCAAAUGACAAGUCAGGCAUGCUGUGAGCUACAGCCAGAAGUCCUUAAAUGGAUUACGAGGUGAAACAUUUUCAGGCCUGGCAUAAUAAUAACGAAGUUAUUUCCUAGAAAUACAGGGACGAUUCAUGGUCUUCAAAGUCUACGAGAAGUCAGUGAAGGUCUUUGAGAGUAGAUGAUCUAUAUUAGGAAAGCCGCGUGAACGAGCAGACUGUAGUCAUUGGCCCUUCCCAAACAGUAGGACACGGCCAUUUCAGUCAAUGAAGGUCUUCAAAGAAACACAUAUCAUCCUUCAGUGCCAAUUCCUCUCCUCAUCUUGUACUGUUGAACUGAGGCUGGGCUGACAAAGAAGGCCUCGUUGAAGCUGAUUAGCUUACAACACUCUGAAAUAGAGGACGAAAAGGCAACUGCGUUAAAGUACGUGCAAUUUCACCUUCCAGUCCGCUUUGACGCAGACAGAGUUGUUUCCAUUGGUUGACUGCGCCUGGGCGAAGCCAGCAAACAGAGCUGCCAGGAUGGCAAUGAG